GUUCGGGCGGGUUCAAUCAAAGAUAUGUUUCAAGUGACUCUUUAAAUAAGGUCCAUCGAGAUAUGGUAUGGAUCUUACAUAGGAUCAUACAAAAAUAAUGACAUGUGGUACUGGAAGUAAUAUUAAAACAGUUUUGUAUGAAUAAACUGUUUUUGAAAAUGAGAUCAUAAUAAACUGUUUUUCAUAAAUAAGUUGUUUUGAAAAUGAGAUCGUAAUAAGCUAUUUU
This 226-nucleotide long non-coding RNA is filed under the name Medicago truncatula (barrel medic). Its description in RNAcentral is "lncRNA gene3252". Lineage: Eukaryota; Viridiplantae; Streptophyta; Magnoliopsida; Fabales; Fabaceae. The record is from RNAcentral.